UAGCUCAGCUGGGAGAGCGACGCGUUCGCAUCGCGUAGGUCAGGAGUUCGAUUCUCCUCAUCUCCACCA
RNAcentral lists this transfer RNA (69 nucleotides) under Alphaproteobacteria bacterium. Its description in RNAcentral is "tRNA-Ala". It matches the Rfam family "tRNA". Rfam says of the family: Transfer RNA (tRNA) molecules are approximately 80 nucleotides in length. The record is from RNAcentral. Lineage: Bacteria; Pseudomonadati; Pseudomonadota; Alphaproteobacteria.